Molecule: long non-coding RNA, 2726 nt
Organism: Lolium rigidum
Lineage: Eukaryota; Viridiplantae; Streptophyta; Magnoliopsida; Poales; Poaceae
Exons: 3
Source: RefSeq, a predicted model, not a curated record
GACCUAGCCGUGGCCUUUCUCCCCCAGACACUGCUCGCGCAUUCCCCCGCUCGACGACGCCGCUCCUCCUAGAUUUCCAUGGGCGUCGCCUGUGUUGCAAGCUCUUCAAAUAGAAAAGGCUGCUAGAGAAACAGUUUAGACGGCGUUGUUUGCGGGUCAGUGAGAACAAGGAAGACCAACUCCCCCAGCCCCAGUUACCACUAUUAUUCUGGUAAUGUCUUGAUGGUUUGACAUGAACAAAUUGUGAGUCCUGAUUUUUAUAACUGGUUUGUAUGAAAACUGGUUCGACAUGCCUUAGAUAUCUGAUCGUUCACUCAGACACCAGUUUAUUAUGUUGUAAGUAAGCUUGUAGUAUCUAAAUGCUAAUAUCCUUAACUUGAAACAUAAUUAUAAGUUUGUGGUGCCUAAACGGUAACACCUGGAGCUAUAUAUCAUGCUUAUCUUUUCAGAUGCAUAUUGUGAUUCGUAUAUUUUUUGGAAAAUUUGUCAGCCUGUUUUCUUAAACAAAGUUCUAAAUAACAAUAGUUCGUUGGCAUUGUGAGUGAGUUUAUUUGAUAACAGGGAAUCGUGGAAGCUCACGACCCAGAACUACAGGAGAGGAAAAGCAAGCGAUACCAUUUUUUUAAGGUAAAACAUCAGGUGCUCUGCUCAUUCAGUUGAGGAGAAAGAAUAAGUUCAGUUUAUAAGCUAGAGAGGGACUAGCUGGUAGAGAAAAGAACGAAAAAGAAACCAGCCAUAAGACCAACGCUGACUACUCGCCGAGUUCAGGCUCCAUGCCUGGCUCGUUCUCUCAAAUUUCUCCUGCAGAUAUGAGCCUAGCAGCAGAUCGUCUUUAAUCAUCUCCAUAACCUGGUGCUCAUUGCUGGACGUGUUUUGAAAGACCCUCCUGCCAAAAGAGCUAUACCAUUACUUUAGCAGAAGUUGUUUCAUCUUUGGUGGCUUGGUCUGAUGCAAUGAGAUCGAAAAGGUCAGUAUAUGCAGAGUAAUAAUCUGUAUGGGUAUACAAUUUUUUUUCUUCUUCCCAGCUUUAGCAUCUCAUUAGAUAUCAUGUUUUUACAUGGUUACAAUGCAUGCAAAUUCACUCAGGUGAUCAUGUAUGCAUGAGUCGAGACAAUGAUAUUUGGUUGGUUCAUGUUGAACAUAACAUAUAACCGUGCAUGAUUUUGAUGGAUGACUGAAACGGAAGUUGUGGCAUGUGCUCUUUUAUUAGGGUAUUAUUUCAUACAUUGAAAAAUGGUGUGUUUGGACUCUAGAUACUUGUUACAAUUUUUUCUGAUAUAAGUAUACUCAAAAGUUUGUUGAAGGAUAGCAGGGCACACAACACUAUUCAGAAUAAAUUGCAUAUUGUUUCUUAACAUUUUGGAAUGGAUUGUUGCCUCCUGGACUGUAAGGAGUAACUUUGAGUUCCUGGUCAUGUCAGUGCAAUUUUGUCUUUUUUUCCUAGACACGGUACUGUGGGCUGAUAAUUCAUAAUUCAGUGAUGACACGUCACACAAACACUUUGAAGAUCACAACGUGCAUACAUAUGUCCUGCACCGCUCCAGGACUAAGUGUGUCAUAACAGGUUGAUACUAGAGUAAUUGAUCUUAAAAACAGGUUAAGUGUCCAAGACUUUAAGCCUGUGAGUUUCUUUCAAAUUUUAGCUAUUAUAUAGUUUACCUAUUCAUAAAAUGACUAAGUGAACCGUUUGAUCCAGAAAAACAUAUAUAAUUUAAUUUUCUAGAACAUUGUGUUAAAAUUGCCCCGCGAAAUUGUGAAAUUUCUUUCAAUAGAAGCACAAUAAAGGUAGAAAAAUUGCUGUCAAGACAUGAUUAAAAACUAGACAGUCAACAAAUGAAGGAAGAAGAAACAUGCUACUCCAUCCGUAUGACUAUUUGGUCUAACUUAUAAAACCUCUAGAAUCUUAUAAUCUUCUUUGUUUAAAUUCUUAUAUGAAUUUUAAUACAAGUUAGUAGUCAAAUUUACAUCUUACAAACCUGUAGCGUUUAUGUGUGCUUCUACUUUAUUGUUGUGCACAUGGCGACUUAUGUGCUAUGGAUGUUGGUUCUCCUAUUGAUUGUUCAAGAUUUAAACAAUUAAAAUUUCAAUGCCAUAUUCUUCAUGUGUCAUUUAAAUGAUUUUACCCUUAUCUAAUCAUUGAAUUUAGUACGAUGUUGCUACACAUAGCGUUUCUUCAUGAAUAUCUUUUAAAUUUCUGGUAUGGUGCCUAUAUGUGCAGCAUUUGUUAGAGCUGGCAGCAUUCUUUUCUAAUUGCAGAUUUUGAUGAGGCCCCACCUUUAAACAAGUUAGAUGAACAAUCUAUGACAGAUAAAACGAAAAGUCAAAGAAAUGUCGGCGAACAAGUUUAUGAUGCAUGGAGGUAACAAGCAAUGAAGGAAUAAAGGAUCAAGCUCUAUUGUCAUUUGUGCAAAAGAAAUAGGAAGGAAGAAAUAAAAGGUGUUUUUUCCUCCAGUUUGCCCUUCACCGGGGCUACAUCAAGUGUUGUUUGGGUUUUUUACGCUUACAUCGGUUGUCAGAUAAGCUAAAACACUCUGAUUUUCCCAUAUCUGAUAGUUUUGUUUUUUUGCUUCCUAGGGAAUUGGCACAACAAUGUUGGUAAGCUGAGUUUUUUAAAACCUCUCUAUAGAGCAUUCUGGAAUGAUCCAAUUUUCAGCAUUGUGUAUGCUUUGCAUGUAUAUUGUAUGUGAACCAGUUCUAAUGGAAUCAUAAUUUUCACUAUUAUCUAU